RNAcentral lists this ribosomal RNA (1312 nucleotides) under metagenome. RNAcentral describes it as "bacterial LSU rRNA". It matches the Rfam family "Bacterial large subunit ribosomal RNA", at positions 1601 to 2925 of the family's 2925-position model. The record is from RNAcentral.
CAUACUUCCAAGAAAAGCUCGAACUACUGUAAAACAUUGAGUACCUGUACCGUAAACCGACACAGGUGGGUUGGUAGAGUAUACCAAGGGGCGCGAGAUAACUCUCUCUAAGGAACUCGGCAAAAUGACCCCGUAACUUCGGGAGAAGGGGUGCCAAGUAACUCAAAUUGCUUGGUCGCAGUGACCAGGCCCUGGCGACUGUUUAUCAAAAACACAGGUCUCCGCAAAGUCGUAAGACAACAUAUGGGGGCUGACGCCUGCCCAGUGCCGGAAGGUUAAAGAAGUUGGUUAUUCACUUGUGGAGAAGCUGACGACUGAAGCCCCGGUGAACGGCGGCCGUAACUAUAACGGUCCUAAGGUAGCGAAAUUCCUUGUCGGGUGAGUUCCGACCCGCACGAAAGGCGUAACGAUCAGGGCACUGUCUCGGAGAGAGACUCGGUGAAAUAGACAUGUCUGUGAAGAUGCGGACUACCUGCACCUGGACAGAAAGACCCUAUGAAGCUUGACUGUAGCUUGGAAUUGGGUUCGGGCUCUUCUUGCGCAGCCUAGGUGGGAGGCGUUGAAAGUUUUCUUUAGGGAAAGCUGGAGCCAACAGUGAGAGACCACUCUGGAGGAGCUAGAAUUCUAAUGGCGUUCCUUGAAGCAGGACGCUUGACAGUUUCAGGUGGGCAGUUUGACUGGGGCGGUCACCUCCUAAAAGGUAACGGAGGUGUGCAAAGGUUCCCUCAGGCUGGACGGAAAUCAGCCGUAGAGUGUAAAGGCAGAAGGGAGCUUGACUGCAAGACCUACAAGUCGAGCAGGGGCGAAAGCCGGCCUUAGUGAUCCGACGGUUCCAUGUGGAAGGGCCGUCGCUCAACGGAUAAAAGUUACUCUAGGAUAACAGGCUGAUCUUCCCCAAGAGUUCACAUCGACGGGAAGGUUUGGCACCUCGAUGUCGGCUCAUCGCAACCUGGGGCGGUAGUACGUCCCAAGGGUUGGGCUGUUCGCCCAUGAAACCGGUACGUGAGCUGGGUUCAGAACGUCGUGAGACAGUUCGGUCCAUAUCCGGUGUAGGCGUUAGAGCAUUGAGAGGAGUCUUCCAUAGUACGAGAGGACCUGGAAGAACACACCUCUGGUAUACCAGUUAUCAUGCCAAUGGUACACGCUGGGUAGCCAUGUGUGGAGUGGAUAACCGCUGAAAGCACCUAAGUGGGAAGCCCACCUCAAGAUGAGUGCUCUCCAUCAGGUCACAGGAAGACAACCUGUUUGAUAGGCAGAAGGUGUAAGGCUAGUAAUAGUUUCAGCUGAUCUGUACUAAUAGACCGAGUGAUUU